This 1370-nucleotide ribosomal RNA is filed under the name Mustilizans capella. Its description in RNAcentral is "16S ribosomal RNA". Lineage: Eukaryota; Metazoa; Arthropoda; Insecta; Lepidoptera; Endromidae. The record is from RNAcentral.
GGGGGAAAAUUAAUAAUUUAAGGAGUAAUAAAAAAAAUUUUAAUAUUAUAAUAAUUUAAUGGGGGUUAAAGUAUUUUUAAUAGAAAAAAUUUAAAUUUUUAUAGUGAAAUAGUAUUGUGAAAGAAUUUUGAAAUAUUUUGAAAAUAAAUUAAUUAAAAAGUAAAUUUAAUUUAUUGUAUCUUGGGUAUCAGAGUUUAUUAAAAAUUUUUUAUUGUUUAAUAAAUUUCUCGAAUUUAAAAGAGAUAAUUAAUUAAAAAAGUUAUUGUUGUAUAAAUAUUUUUAAUAAUUAAUUUGAAAUGAAAUGUUAAUCGUUUUUAAAUAUAUCUAGUUUUUUUAGAAUAAAAUUUAAUUUUUAAUUUUUAUUUAAAAUUAAUUAAUUAAUUUAAUUAAUUUUAAUAUAAAAUUUUAUAUUUUAGGGGAUAAGCUUUAAAUUAAAUUUUUAUAAUAAUUUUUAUUUAUUUAUUUAAAAUUUUUAUAGUUUAUAUUGUUAAUAAAUUAUAUUUUGUUAUAAAUAAUUUUAUUAAAUUUAAAAUUUAAUUUAGUAUUUAAUUUUUUAUAAAAAAAUAAAUUAUAAUUUUUUAAUAUUUAAAUAUUAUGAUAAAAUUAGUAUAUAAAUAAAAUUAAUUAAAUUAUUUAAUUUUAAUUUAAAUUAAUUUAAAGGAAUUCGGCAAAAUUUUAUAUUCACUUGUUUAUCAAAAACAUGUCUUUUUGAUAAUAAUUUAAAGUCUAAUCUGCCCACUGAUAUUAAUUAAAGGGCUGCAGUAUUUUGACUGUACAAAGGUAGCAUAAUCAUUAGUCUCUUAAUUGGUGACUUGUAUGAAAGAUUGGAUGAGAUAUAUACUGUCUUUAAUUUAUAUUAUUGAAUUUAAUUUUUUCGUUAAAAAGCUCAAAUAAAUUAAAAAGACGAGAAGACCCUAUAGAGUUUUAUAAUUUUUAAAAAUUAAUUUUAUUUAUAAAUUUUUUGAUUUUAAUUUAUGGAAAUUAUUUUAUUGGGGUGAUAAAAAAAUUAAAAAAACUUUUUUUAAAAAAUUUCAUUAAUAAGUGAUUAUAUGAUCCAAUUUUAUUGAUUAUAAGAUUAAAUUACCUUAGGGAUAACAGCGUAAUUUUUUUUUUUAGUUCAAAUAAAAAAAAAAGUUUGCGACCUCGAUGUUGGAUUAAGAUAAAAUUUAUAUGCAAAAGUAUAAAAUUUUGAUCUGUUCGAUCAUUAAAAUCUUACAUGAUCUGAGUUCAAACCGGUGUAAGCCAGGUUGGUUUCUAUCUUUUGAAAAAUAAAUAUUUUAGUACGAAAGGAUCAAAUAUUUUAAUUAAAUUAUUUAAUAAUUGAAUUUUAUUAAUUUUUAAUAAAAAAAAAUUUUUUUAAUUUAAUAAAG